UGGUGUCCGUGAUGAUCCACGGUUACCUACAUUGUUUGAUCCUCAUGAGAACAGCACUAGCUGAGACACCU
This is a small nucleolar RNA of Rhinolophus ferrumequinum (greater horseshoe bat), 71 nucleotides long. Its record names the gene SNORD34. It matches the Rfam family "Small nucleolar RNA SNORD34". From Rfam's summary of the family: snoRNA U34 is found in intron 5 of the ribosomal protein L13a gene in humans. U34 is a member of the C/D class of snoRNA which contain C (UGAUGA) and D (CUGA) box motifs, and functions in directing site-specific 2'-O-methylation of 25S rRNAs. Although the selection of the target nucleotide requires the antisense element and the conserved box D or D' of the snoRNA, the methyltransferase activity is thought to reside in one of the protein components. Lineage: Eukaryota; Metazoa; Chordata; Mammalia; Chiroptera; Rhinolophidae. The record is from Ensembl.